This 92-nucleotide transfer RNA is filed under the name Gluconacetobacter johannae. It matches the Rfam family "tRNA". Rfam says of the family: Transfer RNA (tRNA) molecules are approximately 80 nucleotides in length. Their secondary structure includes four short double-helical elements and three loops (D, anti-codon, and T loops). Further hydrogen bonds mediate the characteristic L-shaped molecular structure. tRNAs have two regions of fundamental functional importance: the anti-codon, which is responsible for specific mRNA codon recognition, and the 3' end, to which the tRNAs corresponding amino acid is attached (by aminoacyl-tRNA synthetases). tRNAs cope with the degeneracy of the genetic code in two manners: having more than one tRNA (with a specific anti-codon) for a particular amino acid; and 'wobble' base-pairing, i.e. permitting non-standard base-pairing at the 3rd anti-codon position. The record is from Rfam by way of RNAcentral. Lineage: Bacteria; Pseudomonadati; Pseudomonadota; Alphaproteobacteria; Acetobacterales; Acetobacteraceae. RNAcentral also lists the same sequence under 1 other name.
GGCCGGGUGGCAGAGUGGUUUAUUGCACCUGACUACGAAUCAGGAGUGCUCAUGAAUAGUGAGUACCGUGGGUUCGAAUCCCACCCCGUUUU